Molecule: long non-coding RNA, 579 nt
Filed under: Olea europaea subsp. europaea
Lineage: Eukaryota; Viridiplantae; Streptophyta; Magnoliopsida; Lamiales; Oleaceae
Source: RNAcentral
GGGGAAUUCAUGUAUCUGGCUAUUUGAGACUUGCAGAUCUUGCUCGAGAACUACAAGCAGGAAAUUGCAGAAGUUUUUUGUUGGAAGCGUGAAUCAGGAAACAUCUAAACUUUUCAAUGUUACCCUUCUUUGCUUCCGAGUUAGUUAUUGCUUUGAUUUAGUCAUAGAAGAAAUGAACGUAAAAGACAAUUAUUCUAAACAUUUGUGCUCACAGACAGAGAUGGUAUGCUGAAUCUGAAAAAAAGGAGAAUGUAAUAGAAGCAACUCUUGAACAAUAUAUAUGAGUUAAAUGCUAGAGAUUUAAACCUUCUUAGCUGUAAUAAACAGAAAGAAAUUACAAUACAAACAAGAAAGCUUGCAUUUAUGGUGUGAUUUACCUGCAAUGUGAAAGCUACACUGGCUUGCACUGCAGGUUUUUGCUAUGAAGAAGAUUAUUGCCGUUGUCUUGCAGUAAAUAGUCCACUAAAAAGGAAUAUUAGAGCGACUAAUGCACGUAUGCAAUGCCCUAUUGGCAAGCAUACUUCUUCUCUAAGGCCAAAACAAAGAACUUUCAAAAUCCAUAUCCCAAGGCUUUCCCAU